This 534-nucleotide ribosomal RNA is filed under the name Pseudoparlatoria larreae. RNAcentral describes it as "eukaryotic LSU rRNA". The record is from RNAcentral. Lineage: Eukaryota; Metazoa; Arthropoda; Insecta; Hemiptera; Diaspididae.
AUCUGGGCGGCGAAAUUCAGGAUGGCUGGGCUGGCCUCGCGUCAGUGCGGCCGUUUGAUGUUUACGUCGCCACACGCAGACGUCGCGACCUGUUCGUCGUCGGUCCCUGCUCGGAGGAAUCGCUGUCGAGUUCGUUGUGGGCGCGUUUCGGCGCGUUUCACGGCGAAGACGCGGAUCUCUGGCCGACGACGGACAGUAAGCAACGGUGUCCGGCGUCGUGUCUCGCACGCGGCGUCGGUGCCGGUCAGCGACGAUUUCUUCGGGCCUCUUUCCGACCCGUCUUGAAACACGGACCAAGGAGUCUAACAUGCGCGCGAGUCGCGGGGUAUCGAGCGUACCACGGUGCGCUCGUUACAUCUCGAAACCCGUAAUGUUGAAGGCGUAAUGAAAGUGAAUGGGGAAGAUGGCGUUCCGAGUACACGUUCCGUGAUCCAGUAUCGCGGCCGGACGCCCGCAUUCCCGGGGCGUCUCAACGGCUCGUCGCGGAUGCGGACGGUCGCCUUUCGGGGCGGCCGUCGGUCUGCGACGGACCGA